GCGGGUGUGGCGAAAUUGGCAGACGCACUAGACUUAGGAUCUAGCGCCUAUGGCGUGCAGGUUCAAAUCCUGUCACCCGCACCA
Molecule: transfer RNA, 84 nt
Filed under: Acholeplasma sp.
Lineage: Bacteria; Bacillati; Mycoplasmatota; Mollicutes; Acholeplasmatales; Acholeplasmataceae
Also listed under: 1 other name
Description: tRNA-Leu
Rfam family: tRNA
About the family: Transfer RNA (tRNA) molecules are approximately 80 nucleotides in length.
Source: RNAcentral